AGUGAACGCUGGCGGUAGGCCUAACACAUGCAAGUCGAACGGCAGCACAGUAAGAGCUUGCUCUUACGGGUGGCGAGUGGCGGACGGGUGAGGAAUACAUCGGAAUCUACUUUUUCGUGGGGGAUAACGUAGGGAAACUUACGCUAAUACCGCAUACGACCUACGGGUGAAAGCAGGGGAUCUUCGGACCUUGCGCGAUUGAAUGAGCCGAUGUCGGAUUAGCUAGUUGGCGGGGUAAAGGCCCACCAAGGCGACGAUCCGUAGCUGGUCUGAGAGGAUGAUCAGCUACACGGGAACUGAGAAACGGUACAGACUCCUACGGGAGGCAGCAGUGGGGAAUAUUGGACAAUGGGCGAAAGCCUGAUCCAGCCAUACCGCGUGGGUGAAGAAGGACUUAGGGUUGUAAAGCCCUUUUGUUGGGAAAGAAAAGCAGCAGGUUAAUACCCCGCUGUUCUGACGGUACCCAAAGAAUAAGCACCGGCUAACUUCGUG
This 492-nucleotide ribosomal RNA is filed under the name uncultured bacterium. RNAcentral describes it as "partial 16S ribosomal RNA". It matches the Rfam family "Bacterial small subunit ribosomal RNA", at positions 29 to 507 of the family's 1533-position model. The record is from RNAcentral.